This 161-nucleotide ribosomal RNA is filed under the name Coscinodon hartzii. Its description in RNAcentral is "5.8S ribosomal RNA". It matches the Rfam family "5.8S ribosomal RNA". From Rfam's summary of the family: 5.8S ribosomal RNA (5.8S rRNA) is a component of the large subunit of the eukaryotic ribosome. The record is from RNAcentral. Lineage: Eukaryota; Viridiplantae; Streptophyta; Bryopsida; Grimmiales; Grimmiaceae.
AAACAACUCUCAGCAACGGAUAUCUUGGCUCCUGCAACGAUGAAGAACGCACCGAAAUGCGAUACGUAGUGUGAAUUGCAGAAUUCCGCGAAUCAUCGAGUCUUUGAACGCAAGUUGCGCCCGAAACGAAAGUGUCGGGCAUUUCUGGCAGAGCGUCACCG